AAAGAAAUAUUCUAAAAAAGCUUCUAACUUUUUAACAAGCAUAAAAAAUGUUUAU
Molecule: transfer RNA, 55 nt
Filed under: Cautires sp. UPOL 000109
Lineage: Eukaryota; Metazoa; Arthropoda; Insecta; Coleoptera; Lycidae
Description: partial tRNA-Ser
Source: RNAcentral